Molecule: long non-coding RNA, 1182 nt
Organism: Magallana angulata
Lineage: Eukaryota; Metazoa; Mollusca; Bivalvia; Ostreida; Ostreidae
Exons: 4
Source: RefSeq, a predicted model, not a curated record
AAGAAACCAGACCAAAACCAAUUUUUGUACGUGCAUGUGGAUUUUCGGAUGGGGACGAAUAUUUUCCGAUGGGAGACGAUGGAAAGGCCAGUUUUUCUGACCAUGAUAUGUUGAUGUCUGGAAGGUAUCAUGUCAUAAUUUGGCACAGAAUUCCCGGCACCCUCUCUAUCCAGAUUAUUUCUUAGAAUAGUAUCAUUCGCAGUACAUCUUUUAUAUCCUUGAAUAUUAUUUCAAAACUACUGGAUGUAUUGUUCAAUGUUAAAAACAUAUAGUGAUCAGCAUUGUCAACAGGUUUACCUGAUACUGUCCAUUAAAACAAAGGAGGUUAUGUAAGCCUCACACUGUCCAUUCUGUGAACCACAAUUAGUCCGGGGGUUACGAUUUUAACAAUUUAGAAUCUUCACUAUUUAUACAGGCUUUGGUGUGAAUAAUGGCAAAUCUGGUGCAAUGGUUCUUGAGAAGAUGUUUUAAGACACACGCCCUAAUUUUACUGUUUCGCAGUCACAUGUAUCUCUCUUUUAAAAAGGGGUGUGCUCUUUAUUUGAACAAUUUUGAAUUCCCUUCCCAUAAGAAUGUUUUGUAUCAAAAUUUGGUUUAAUUUGGUCCAGUGGAUCUAGAGAAGAAGUUAAAUAUGUAUAAAGUCAACAGAAAGGCGGUCAGAGGGACGGACAACAGGUGACCAAAAAUGCUCACUUAAAACUGCGGUUCAGGUGAGUUAAAAAAAACAUAACCUCCGUUUCUAUUAAUCUGGGAGGUACAUGUAAAAGAAGUGAGACUGCCGUGUGAUUCCGACGAUGGUGUAUCUUAUUUCGAGUAUGCAUUACUAUCUGAUGCAAUGUCCUGAGAUUAUUAAUCAUUCGCAAUAGGGCUGAAGAUAAAGAUCCCGUUGUAUUUGGUGAACCAAUCCUGAAAGAAGAAGAAGACUAUAGCGCAAGUUUGCCUUUAGUUAGAUUUCUGCUGCAGCGAAACCUUAUUAUCAUUCCUAAAAGCGUUAAUCCACAACGAAUCAAAGAUAAUAUUGACAUUUUGAGUUAUCUGACGAGGAAAUGAAAGCCAUCUGGUCAAUGGAUAGCGGAGAGCGGUUUUACGCUACAACGAUGUACAAUAUUGAAGGAACCCACAAGUAUUACAUUUCACGACGAAUAUAAGACUAGUGUAGAUCAAUGCAUACACUGCAGAGAG